ACGCUCGACACCUACGGAGGCAGCAGUGAGGAAUAUUGGUCAAUGGACGCAAGUCUGAACCAGCCAUGCCGCGUGCAGGAUGACGGCUCUAUGAGUUGUAAACUGCUUUUGUACGAGGGUAAACGCAGAUACGUGUAUCUGUCUGAAAGUAUCGUACGAAUAAGGAUCGGCUAACUCCGUGCCCGCAGCCGCGGUAAUCUGAGCGGGCUGGCAAGGC
This 217-nucleotide ribosomal RNA is filed under the name uncultured bacterium. RNAcentral's name for it is "partial 16S ribosomal RNA". It matches the Rfam family "Bacterial small subunit ribosomal RNA", at positions 328 to 539 of the family's 1533-position model. The record is from RNAcentral.